UUUUAUAAUAGUUAAUAAAAGUAAUUUUAAAAAUUUAUAUUUAAGUAUUUAUUAAAGAAAUAAUUAAAUUAAUUAUAGUGUAUUAGUAUUGUAAAAGAAUUUAAUUUAAAUUUAGUAAAAGUAGAAUUAAUUUUUUGUACCUUGUGUAUCAGGGUUUAUUAAAUAAAAAUUAUAUAUUUAAUUUUCUCGAUUUAAAAAGAGAUAAUAGAUUAUUUUUUUUAUUGUAAAAUAAAUAUUUAAAAUAGUUUAUUAGUAAUGAAAUGUUAUUCGGUUUUUAAUAUAUCUAGUUUAUUUAGAAAUAAAUUUAAUUUAGUUAAUUUGAUUUUAUUAAAUUUAAUAUUUAAUUUAAUAAAUAAAAUUGAUAAUAAUUAAGGGGAUUAGCUUUUAAUUAAAAUUUUAUAAUUUAGAUAAAAUUUAGGUUUAUGUAGGUUUAGAAAUAUCCAUUAUUUAUAGUUUGUUAUAAUAAUAAUUAAGAAAAAUAUAAUUUUAAAUAAAUUUAAGGUUUUAUAAAUAAGUAUUAUAUAAUAAAAAAAUAUUAUAUAUAAUGAUAAAAUUAGUAUAAAAAUUUAAAUAAAUAUUAAAAAAAAUAAGAUUAUUAAAAGGAAUUCGGCAAAAAUUUUAUUCGCCUGUUUAGCAAAAACAUGUCCUUUAGUAAAUAAUUUAAGGUCUAACCUGCCCUCUGAUAUAAUUUAACGGCCGCAGUAAUUUGACUGUGCAAAGGUAGCAUAAUCAUUAGUUUUUUAAUUAAAAGCUUGUAUGAAUGGUUGGACGAGAUAAAAUCUGUCUCUUAAUAAUGAUUAGAAUUUAAUUUUUAAGUUAAAAAGCUUAAAUUAUAAUAAAAGACGAGAAGACCCUGUAGAUUUUUAUUUAAUUAUUUUUAAUUAAGAUUAAAGAAAAUAUAAAAAUUAGAGAUAAUUAAAUUUUAUUGGGGUAAUAAAAAGAUUAAAUAAAUUCUUUUUUUAUUAUUACAAUGAUAAUUGGAAGAUUGAUCCAAAAUUUUUGAUUAAAAGAUUAAAUUACCUUAGGGAUAACAGCGUAAUUUUCUUAAAGAGUUCUUAUCGAUAAGAGAGAUUGCGACCUCGAUGUUGGAUUAAAAAAUAUUCUAGGUGCAGAAAUUUAGAUAAAUGGUCUGUUCGACCAAUAGUUUUUUACAUGAUCUGAGUUCAAACCGGUGUAAGCCAGGUUGGUUUCUAUCUUUAUUUAAAUAAUAUAUUUUAGUACGAAAGGACCAAAUAUUUAAUUAAAAAUUUUUUUUAUUGAUUAAAAUU
RNAcentral lists this ribosomal RNA (1268 nucleotides) under Desmopachria sp. ITV9392. RNAcentral describes it as "16S ribosomal RNA". Lineage: Eukaryota; Metazoa; Arthropoda; Insecta; Coleoptera; Dytiscidae. The record is from RNAcentral. RNAcentral also lists the same sequence under 1 other name.